AAAUCUCUUCAUCUUACCCUGGUGGACUCCUGACUGUAGAAUUUUUUGGUUUAAAGAAGAAAAAAAUAAAGCUUUGGACUUUUCAAGGUUGCUUAACAGGUAUAUUCCAGUGGUUUAUCAUCGGGAGAGGGAUGAUAAUGGAGGAAGGCUCAAUGAGGGAGAAAGUAUUCAGCUGCUUGAUGUUAGAGCUUAAUGGCAGGACCUACCAGUUGCUUUUCACAGAAAUGCUGUGUAUUGAUCCUAAGGCAGCAUGUGUUCUCUUUUGUGUGGCCAUUAUCCAUUCUCCCACUUUUCCAUCAGUGACUGCUUUGCUUUUGUUCCUCAAUCCUUUACCCAAAAAUGGCUGAAUUAUUUCUGUGCAGUUAAAUAAAGUGAUCCAAACUCAA
Homo sapiens (human) is the source of this 386-nucleotide long non-coding RNA. Lineage: Eukaryota; Metazoa; Chordata; Mammalia; Primates; Hominidae. The record is from Ensembl.